Molecule: long non-coding RNA, 444 nt
Filed under: Mytilus galloprovincialis (Mediterranean mussel)
Lineage: Eukaryota; Metazoa; Mollusca; Bivalvia; Mytilida; Mytilidae
Source: RNAcentral
AUGGUUUUUUUUAAAUUAUUUGAUGCCGUGGGAUUGGGAUUUUUAGCUUUAAUGUAAACCAUGUCCGGUUUUUAACUUGUAUUUACAGCAAAGAUAGCCAGUUUUGUGUUCUGUAAUAUACUGUAACAGUUUAAUUUUACAUGUCCGGUAGCAUCGUUACUUCUCAAAACAUCUUCCGAACAAUAUCUGGACAUCGGUGUCGUGGGCAUGUACAAUUGCCAAACCACACAUGAACGUUCUUUAGUCUUCGUAGAUCUAUUCCAACUUGAAGUCUUUUUGAGUCUACGACAAGCAGAACAUGAUAUUUUAUACCAUUGAAUAUUGAAGCCAUAGUCAUGAAGAUCGAUUACUUGAUUGGUGUUCCGUUAACGUAGCCGCAGAACAAAAACGCGAGAGCUACUUUUGAAUAUUUCUACAAUUUUAAGUAGUUUUCCACUCACAAAC